CCAGGCCCGCCGCCGCGGCCGCCCGAGCCGAGCCUCGCCUCGCCUCGCGGAGGAGGCCCCUUAGCUGCGCCAGCAGAGGCCAGGGGUGUGCAUUUUCGCUCCACAAGCCCGCUCCAUCCUGAUCGGUUAUCCCCACCCCUCUGCUUGCAGUAUUUAAAUAGGCAACGAGGGCCACGCGGACACAAUAAUGUGGCUUGUUUUGUCUUUGGCAUUUUCUGCAGGACCCCAGAGCUGGACCUUCCUCCCCGCCCUCCCCCUAGACCCGGCAUCCUUCCUCCCGGUCUGCACAGGCCCCGUUGCGCAGGUCCUCGGGGUUCCAGCGGGAUCCGAGUCAUUGGAACCAGAACACCUGGCGGAAACAUGCCAUAUCACUAGAAGGAUUUUCUUUCUCUUCGCCUUCUGUUCCUUCCUUUCUUUCUUUUUCCUAAGAGGGCUGGAAUUGGCUGCCUGUGUGAGCCGAGAAGCUGGGCGGGAGAGGAAAGCCGCCCCACUCUCUCCGCUGGCCGAGGUCUCCAGCUCCCGCGCUGCCGCCGGACUCGCUUCCGUUCCUCGGCCUCUCGGCCUCCGGCUCCCAUCGGUUUUUCCUCUCUCCACCAUCUUCUCGGUUUAAUUAAAGUUCAGCGACUCCACUUGCCGUUCCUUCCACUCUCGUUUUGUGUUUUGUUUUGUUUUGUUUUUUCUCGGAAAGCAGAAAGCAGACGGCCCAGCGGCCACCGGCCCAGCGGCCCCAGCACAGCCCGGGCCUGCCGCCGGUGGGGCCUCCCCUAGCCGGCCUCCCUCCGGCGACCGCCUUCUGGACCGGGCCCCCUGCCACUCCACCGUCCGGAAGGUGUGCAGCCGCUGGCCUGGGGCAUCUGAACGCCGGGGGCUGGGGUAAGAGUGUCCUGUCUGCCCCUGUACCCCAGGCUUGCUCCAGAGAGCUUGAAGGGUGUAUACCCCGCCUCAGACAACCCGCUCCCCCAAACCCAUGACCAACUAAUCUAUGACAAAAGCCCGUGAUGGAUUUGGUAUAUGUUAAUUCACAAUGCCCUUUCCUCCAGAAUUUAACUAUAAGUUAAUACACACCGGAAACCACGCGCAUACACGGUCGUUAAUGGGCUUAGGUAUUAGCGAGUCCUAACGAUGCAUACAAAUGUGCUCUGCGCUCUGUAGGCCCCUCAAGAUUUAUGGGCCUUGAGCUCUCUGAAGCUGUAAACAAGGAGAAAAAAGAGAAAGAGAGAGAGACUGGGGGAAAAGAGACAGGGGCCUGACUCACCCUUCCAGGUUGUGGGAGAGGAGGGAUCUUUGCAAGUGGGUUUCACUUAUUUUCCUUUCCUUACCAGCUCCCCUCGCUCACGCGUGGGUUUUGGCAGGGUCUGGGGGUGGUGUUUGUGCCUGAAAGCUGGUGUGCGCCGGCAGUGUGUUGUUUGCAUGCUGGGGCAGGCGGAUGUCUGCCUCCUGUGAAUUGUUGUGCAGGGCCUGAAUGGAACAGGCACUUGUGGGCAUAUGCUAUGUGUGCACACCUGCUAGGGGUGUGUGUGUGUGUGUGUGUGUGUGUGUGUGUGUGCGCUUGUGACAAGCAGGCUUCCCUCUGGGUCUGGCUGCUGUACCUGAAUCCAGUGAACAAAUCUCCAACAACAAUCAUAAUAACGAUAAAUAAAAACAGUAGUUAACAGCCCCUCCCUAGCAGGAUAACAGUAAAAUGCAAGAGGAGAUAUUUUAAAGAGGGGAUGGGGAAGGGGUCAUGGUCACAGAAUCUGAGGGGAAGACAGGAAAAGAAGUUAGCUUCUUCGUAUAUCCUUGGGGGCUGGGUUUGGGACCCCCCCAGAGAAGGUUCUUCAGCCAGAGGAGCUGAGGGAGGCCAGGAGGCCGAUCUUUCCUGCUGCUUUUUUCCAGCUUUUGCUUCGUGUGAUCAGGGGAGGGCUGGUGGCUUUGGGGACUUUCUGGAGCCCCUGUUUUAAAGAGAAGGCCAACCAUGUAGGGACAGACAUGGAUAAGGCAAUGACCACAGCUGGGCCCAUUGUGCCGGGAGGUGGAGGUGCCCUGGAGGACGAGCGCGGCUGGCCAGGCAGGGGUGGAAUUUAUGGCCGCGGAGAGAGGGGAGAGCAAGGGCAGGGCUCCGGUAGGCCCAGCGAAAGUUCCCUUCCAAGGGUCUUUGGAGAGAGAGAGAGAGAGAGAGAGAGAGAGAGAGAGAGAGAGAGAGAGAGAGAGAGAGAGAGAGAGAGAGAAAGGAAAAAGAAGAAGGAGAAAGGGGUGGAGGCCCGUUGAAAUUUCCUUGGCUCGCGCUAGAACAGAGCGAAUUUCCGUAACGGAAGAGAAGACACGGUCCCGGAUCCUUCCAUGGACGCCUCACUCUCUCCAGGCCUCUCCACUUGCCCGAGCUCUCGGCCACCAGGAGACGGACACAGAAGGAGCUUGUGGGCUGCUGACUCCUGCAGGGCUUCCCAGAGUCCAGCCACCUCAACCCUCCUUGGGGGGAAUAUCGGUGCCAGACACCUCUGUGCCCUGUCAGAUGUGACUGCGCUCACGUCAGGAUUAUCUUACAAAGAAGAAGAAGAAAAGCCGGGUGUUUAUAGCUAGUUCUACUGAUCCGUUCACAUCUGGAGAGUUUAUUUAUAACUCCCACUAGAACUCUCUCUGUUUGGAAGCACUGGUGGCUCUAUUGACAGACUGAUGCCUAGAAAAUAUUGCUCUAUCUCUAACCAUACCUAAAUGUGCUGUGGUUGUAUUUACAGAUUUAUGCUCGAGGAAAAUAUAAUUAUUUCCAUUGUGUUUGUGCAUA
Myotis myotis is the source of this 2761-nucleotide long non-coding RNA. RefSeq lists it as uncharacterized. Lineage: Eukaryota; Metazoa; Chordata; Mammalia; Chiroptera; Vespertilionidae. The record is from RefSeq and is a predicted model, not a curated record. The transcript has 2 exons.